AGCCGCCGCGGUAAUACGUACGGUGCAAGCGUUAAUCGGAAUUACUGGGCGUAAAGCGUGCGCAGGCGGUUAGGUAAGACAGAUGUGAAAUUCCCGGGCUCAACCUGGGAACUGCAUUUGUGACUGCCUGACUAGAGUGCGGCAGAGGGGAGUGGAAUUCCGCGUGUAGCAGUGAAAUGCGUAGAUAUGCGGAGGAACACCGAUGGCGAAGGCAACUCCCUGGGCCUGCACUGACGCUCAUGCACGAAAGCGUGGGGAGCAAACAGGAUUAGAUACCCUGGUAGUCCACGCCCUAAACGAUGUCGACUAGUUGUUGGACGGGUUACUGUUCAGUAACGAAGCUAACGCGUGAAGUCGACCGCCUGGGGAGUACGGCCGCAAGGUUAAAACUCAAAGGAAUUGACGGGGACCCGCACAAGCGGUGGAUGAUGUGGUUUAAUUCGAUGCAACGCGAAAAACCUUACCUACCCUUGACAUGCCAGGAACUUACCAGAGAUGGUUUGGUGCUCGAAAGAGAGCCUGGACACAGGUGCUGCAUGGCUGUCGUCAGCUCGUGUCGUGAGAUGUUGGGUUAAGUCCCGCAACGAGCGCAACCCUUGUCAUUAGUUGCUACGCAAGAGCACUCUAAUGAGACCGCCGGUGACAAACCGGAGGAAGGUGGGGAUGACGUCAAGUCCUCAUGGCCCUUAUGGGUAGGGCUACACACGUCAUACAAUGGGCGGUACAGAGGGUUGCCAACCCGCGAGGGGGAGCCAAUCCCUUAAAACCGCUCGUAGUCCGGAUUGUAGUCUGCAACUCGACUGCAUGAAGUCGGAAUCGCUAGUAAUCGCGGAUCAGCUUGCCGCGG
This 847-nucleotide ribosomal RNA is filed under the name uncultured bacterium. Its description in RNAcentral is "bacterial SSU rRNA". It matches the Rfam family "Bacterial small subunit ribosomal RNA", at positions 510 to 1362 of the family's 1533-position model. The record is from RNAcentral.